RNAcentral lists this long non-coding RNA (866 nucleotides) under Cricetulus griseus (Chinese hamster). RNAcentral's name for it is "lncRNA (ENSCGRG00015039575.1)". Lineage: Eukaryota; Metazoa; Chordata; Mammalia; Rodentia; Cricetidae. The record is from RNAcentral.
GAGCCCCUGGUGGCUGGAGGUUGAUCCUCUCUCUAUUCUGUGCUCAGCUUAGCAUUCCUUUGGCUCUUUCUGAAUCAGUGAUUAAUGUUUGCCUUUAUAGCUCAGAGAAAUUUGUCAUCUUGAGAUUAGUAAUAUGUCAGCGGCGUGUGCCCUACCUACAGCACAAGCUAGCUGUGGGGACUGCAAGGAUCAGGCACGGUGCCUGUCUUGGUAUCUACAAGAGUAAGGAGCACCUUCUUCUCACCCCUACAAAGCGCUGCCCAGAGAUGAGAGCGGCCGUUGUUUAUCGGACAUUAGCUUUUACUCAUUUCCAAGGGAAACGCUGGAAAGGAAAACAAAUGAAUGAAUGCUGCUUAGUCACAACCCUGGGGGAAAUUGGAGGUGCCACUACAUGGAAAGUCAACAAAGAGUCUUCAGCCAUCUUCUCCAUUACACUAUCAUUUAUUAGCCCAGGACCACCAGCCCAGGUCUGUAGCAGUAAAGAGGCCCACUGAUGUCCAUCAUGAACUAUGAAAACUCAACGCAGGUCAAUCCAGUGGGGGCAUUUUCUCAGUGAAGGUUCCUUCUUCCUGGUGGAUGGCUUUGAAUGGCAUUGCUUGCCAAGGUUCAGACUUGCUGAGACAAAGGGAGACUGAAUGGAGUCCUGAAGUCAACGUGUGAACAUCAGCUAGUGCCUUCAUUCCCAUGUUCCGUGGUUAUGCAAGCCCACUGCUUUGGAAUUUCAACAUAGCCUUGAACCGUCACCAACUUUAAUUUUCCUCACACUUCCACCAGUAGUAAUUGGGCCUCCCUCCUGCUGCUGCUGUGGCUGCUGGCAUUGUAGUUCGUGUCUUUCCUUUGCUUCCAGUGACUUUGUUUAAUUCCUC